GACGAACGCUGGCGGCGUGCUUAACACAUGCGAGUCGAGCGGAAAGGCCCUGCUUUUGUGGGGUGCUCGAGUGGCGAACGGGUGAGUAACACGUGAGUAACCUGCCCUUGACUUUGGGAUAACUUCAGGAAACUGGGGCUAAUACCGGAUAGGAGCUCCUGCUGCAUGGUGGGGGUUGGAAAGUUUCGGCGGUUGGGGAUGGACUCGCGGCUUAUCAGCUUGUUGGUGGGGUAGUGGCUUACCAAGGCUUUGACGGGUAGCCGGCCUGGGAGGGUGACCGGCGACAUGGGGACUGAGAUAGGGCCCAGACUGCUACGGGAGGCAGCAGUGGGGAAUAUUGCACAAUGGGCGGGAGCCUGAUGCAGAAACGCCGCGUGCGGGAAGAAGGCCUUCGGGUUGUAAACCGCUUUAGCCUGUGACGAAGCGUGAGUGACGGUAAUGGGUAAAGAAGCACCGGCUAACUACGUG
RNAcentral lists this ribosomal RNA (468 nucleotides) under uncultured bacterium. RNAcentral describes it as "partial 16S ribosomal RNA". It matches the Rfam family "Bacterial small subunit ribosomal RNA", at positions 28 to 507 of the family's 1533-position model. The record is from RNAcentral.